Molecule: long non-coding RNA, 2852 nt
Organism: Fukomys damarensis (Damara mole-rat)
Lineage: Eukaryota; Metazoa; Chordata; Mammalia; Rodentia; Bathyergidae
Exons: 7
Source: RefSeq, a predicted model, not a curated record
CAGAGUCGGAUCCCAGGGCGGGCCCAGACUGCAUCCCGGAUAAGCUUCCCCGGGCCCCACUGUGAGGAAGGAGGCACUGCCCCAGGACACCCAAGCUGGAGGCUUGGCCAAAGCUCCUACCCAGAGGGGUGACACACGGCGCCUGGCCCGUCCACUGCGUGAGAUACGUGUUUGUCCCUCCUGCAUCUGGGACAGCCGAGUGCUGGACGCCUUCCGUGACAGACACCUAAGUGGUCUCCAGCGCCAUGAGGUGUCCCGCUCAGUUUCUCAGGAUGAGGAAGCCAGGAGGGGAAAUGCCAGGUGGUAGCGACCUUAACUUCUCCUCCUCCUCCUCUUCCUCCUCUUCCUCCUCUUCCUCAAUUUUGAGAUGAUAUUUUGCUACCAUAAGUCACUAAGUUGCCAGGCUGGACUCAGACAUGUGAUCCUCCGGCCUCAGCCUCCCCCACAAUGCUGAAAUCACAGGAAUGUGUCACCCUGUGCCAGCUCAUGUGCCUCAGUUCCUGAUGGCUCCCAAAGCCCUGGGAAGCACUCAGCAGAGGCGCAGGCUGGGGUGCGGAGGGUUGGGGGACUGACCCUCCGCCACCCAGCCAGUCAUCAGUGGAACCCGGAUGAGAAUGCAGGCGUCCUGAGCCCUCCUCCAGGUUCUGCCCGCUGUGGUUCGCUGGGCCCAGAGUGCGGCUGGAAGAGAUGGCCUUUCCCUAGUCACAGCAUCCGGUGUCCGGGAGAGAUCUGGGAAGGGUUUGGUUUUUGUUUUGCUUCUUUAAUCACCUUUACUGAGUUUUAAUUAGCACAUAAUAAAAUGCUCCCCCUUCGGUGAGUAUUUCCAGGCGUCCACACCGGUGUCACCACCGUGCCGAGCCUGACUCAGGUGUGUCUGGGGCCGGUGUUGGACUGGAUCGGUCCUUUCCCGUCUCUGCGUCCAGUGCGUGUCCUUGGAGCUGCUCCGCAGUGCUGAGGUCCUUGUGGCCCGGGCCUUGGGCGGAUCCGGUGGGGGUGCUCGCGUCCCCGGCUCCCACUGUGGCCUCCAGGGCCCUCCUGGUGCCUCAGCCUCGCGGAUGAGGUCGGCAUGAGGUCAGCAUCUGAGGCCGCGCCUGGGCCAUGGUUGUGUUUCCGUGGAUCCCCGACUCCUACAGCGGUGCGGGGUCAGCAGGAGGCUUUACCCGACCCUCGGACUGUUGAAAGGAUGCUACGUCGUUUUCAGUCUCUCACGUGGUGUUGAUCGUCGAGCCCAGGAGUCUGCUGUGGCUGUCAUUUUCCCUUCGUUUCUCCUGCUGCUGUGGGCCAGAAGGAGAAUCCGCACCACUGUGGAAUGACAGAAUACCGGGCUCUGCCACUGCUUGUGCUGACACAAAAGUACAUGAAAACGCACAGCCACAGGCGUGCACACACGGGCACACACACGGGCACACACACGCGUGCACCAGGGGUGCGCUCCACUCACACCUCCUCAACACAACCUGAAGCCGCUUGCAGACCCGAUGGUAAACAAGAAGCAGGAAGAGGAAGCUCUUGAGGAAACGGCCAACACCGCCCCGCGAGAAUGAGGCCGAACCAAAACCACGGUGGAAAUGUCAGCGCUGAGGUGACACAUUGCAGCAUGGCUUGCGGCGGGCAGGUCGCGUUUAUUGUAACUGGGUAACCUGAGUCCAUCCCGUCCCUGGUCCCCAGCCCUGCUGCCCCAUUUUAACACUGCCAAUCAAGCCAAUCCUGCUGUGGAAAACUGAAAGGAGAAAAGACACUGAAUUUACUACGACAGAAGGAAAGCCCAGGAACUAAAGAUGUAUUAAGAAGAGAGAGCCGGGCGUGGUGGUGCACACCUGUCAUCCAGCACUCGGGAGGCUGAGGCAGGAGGAUCGCUACGAUUUUUCAGUUUCGAAGAAUUCCUGGCCUCUCCUCCCAGCCGUGAAAACCGAAAAACGUUUUCCAGACACUGCAAAAUUCCCAGUGAGAGCCACUUAGGACGGCUAUCACAGGUUGACACAACUCCAUUUCCGCCUCCAGUCACAGCUGAGACCUCAGUAAUCCCAUGGUGCUCCGGGGCAGGAGUGCAUCAGCCGAAGACGUCCUGGGAAGAACAAACUCCUCAUCAACAUAAGUUCCUCAUGACCUAGGAUCUUCAUCUGCGUAAAUUCCUCAUUGUCCUAGGACUACGUUCGCCACCUUCUGAGUCAUCUGUUACUUCUGAUGUACCAAAUAAAGGAGACCAGGACUCACUGCAGGAGUUCCUGUAACGUCCCCUUUCCCUGUCCCUACACCUACGUCUUUAUUUCCUGCUUUGGACGCCAAAACGAAGCCACGGUGCCUCCGGCUGUGGCGGCCAUCUUGUGGCCGUGAGGAACCAGCGGGAGCAGAGCCGCGCUGCGCCUGGAAGGAGAGGCAGAAGGAGCCUUGGCUUCUGCUGCUCCAACCCUGGCAUUCACUUCCUUUUGUGAUGAGUUCCGUUAAGCGAACCCAGCUGUGGCCCCUGCCGUGCCUGCCCAGCUGUCCCACCUAAUGGCAUUUGCAGUCACAGGUCUGUUCCGCGCCCGUUUUUCCUCCUCUUCCUUCCUCGCCUGCCCCCGCUCACUGCUCAGGACUUAGCUCUGUACCCUCUCCGGGAAGUUUUCCUGGAGCCCCCCGUGUGGUCCCCACACUCGGACACACACCCAGGACGCAAGUGACCAGAGGUGCCCUUGAGCAGGGCUUUGGACCUCUGCAAUGUUUUUCCAACAUUUCUAUCAGCUCUUGUUUGCAGCCCGUGAUGUUACAUUCACCUAGGGGGCAGGUACAUGAGCUAAACAGAGCUUCUCUUUCUUACACCUCUCCCCACCACCUUGGUCUCUGGACCCCUUUUCCAUUUGCAAAAAGAUCUA